This 492-nucleotide ribosomal RNA is filed under the name uncultured bacterium. RNAcentral's name for it is "partial 16S ribosomal RNA". It matches the Rfam family "Bacterial small subunit ribosomal RNA", at positions 29 to 507 of the family's 1533-position model. The record is from RNAcentral.
AGUGAACGCUGGCGGUAGGCCUAACACAUGCAAGUCGAACGGCAGCACAGUAAGAGCUUGCUCUUACGGGUGGCGAGUGGCGGACGGGUGAGGAAUACAUCGGAAUCUACUUUUUCGUGGGGGAUAACGUAGGGAAACUUACGCUAAUACCGCAUACGACCUACGGGUGAAAGCAGGGGAUCUUCGGACCUUGCGCGUUUGAAUGAGCCGAUGUGGGUUUAGCUGUUUGGGGGGGGAAAGGCCCACCAAGGCGACGAUCCGUAGUUGGGGUGAGAGGAUGAUCAGCCAAAAUGGAACUGAGGAACGGUCCAGAAUCCUACGGGAGGCAGCAGUGGGGAAUAUUGGGCAAUGGGCGCAAGCCUGAUCCAGCCAUACCGCGUGGGUGAAGAAGGCCUUCGGGUUGUAAAGCCCUUUUGUUGGGAAAGAAAAGCAGCAGGUUAAUACCCCGCUGUUCUGACGGUACCCAAAGAAUAAGCACCGGCUAACUUCGUG